This 719-nucleotide ribosomal RNA is filed under the name uncultured bacterium. RNAcentral's name for it is "bacterial SSU rRNA". It matches the Rfam family "Bacterial small subunit ribosomal RNA", at positions 59 to 775 of the family's 1533-position model. The record is from RNAcentral.
CAGUCGACGGAGCACCCCUGACGGAGUUUUCGGACAACUGAAGGGACUGCUUAGUGGCGGACGGGUGAGUAACGCGUGAGCAACCUACCUUGGAGUGGGGAAUAACAGCUGGAAACAGCUGCUAAUACCGCAUGAUAUGUCUGUAUCACAUGGUACUGGACAUCAAAGAUCUAUCGCUCUGAGAUGGGCUCGCGUCUGAUUAGCUAGUUGGUGAGGUAACGGCCCACCAAGGCGACGAUCAGUAGCCGGACUGAGAGGUUGGCCGGCCACAUUGGGACUGAGACACGGCCCAGACUCCUACGGGAGGCAGCAGUGGGGAAUAUUGGGCAAUGGGCGCAAGCCUGACCCAGCAACGCCGCGUGAAGGAAGAAGGCUCUCGGGUUGUAAACUUCUUUUAUCAGGGACGAAGCAAGUGACGGUACCUGAUGAAUAAGCCACGGCUAACUACGUGCCAGCAGCCGCGGUAAUACGUAGGUGGCAAGCGUUAUCCGGAUUUACUGGGUGUAAAGGGCGUGUAGGCGGGAAAGCAAGUCAGAUGUGAAAACCAUGGGCUCAACCUGUGGCCUGCAUUUGAAACUGUUUUUCUUGAGUACUGGAGAGGCAGACGGAAUUCCUAGUGUAGCGGUGAAAUGCGUAGAUAUUAGGAGGAACACCAGUGGCGAAGGCGGUCUGCUGGACAGCAACUGACGCUGAGGCGCGAAAGCGUGGGGAGCAAACAG